RNAcentral lists this ribosomal RNA (657 nucleotides) under uncultured bacterium. RNAcentral describes it as "bacterial SSU rRNA". It matches the Rfam family "Bacterial small subunit ribosomal RNA", at positions 505 to 1162 of the family's 1533-position model. The record is from RNAcentral.
GUGCCAGCAGCCGCGGUAAUACGUAGGUGGCAAGCGUUGUCCGGAUUUAUUGGGCGUAAAGCGAGCGCAGGCGGUUUCUUAAGUCUGAUGUGAAAGCCCCCGGCUCAACCGGGGAGGGUCAUUGGAAACUGGGAGACUUGAGUGCAGAAGAGGAGAGUGGAAUUCCAUGUGUAGCGGUGAAAUGCGUAGAUAUAUGGAGGAACACCAGUGGCGAAGGCGGCUCUCUGGUCUGUAACUGACGCUGAGGCUCGAAAGCGUGGGGAGCGAACAGGAUUAGAUACCCUGGUAGUCCACGCCGUAAACGAUGAGUGCUAAGUGUUGGAGGGUUUCCGCCCUUCAGUGCUGCAGCAAACGCAUUAAGCACUCCGCCUGGGGAGUACGACCGCAAGGUUGAAACUCAAAGGAAUUGACGGGGGCCCGCACAAGCGGUGGAGCAUGUGGUUUAAUUCGAAGCAACGCGAAGAACCUUACCAGGUCUUGACAUCCUUUGACCACUCUAGAGAUAGAGCUUCCCCUUCGGGGGCAAAGUGACAGGUGGUGCAUGGUUGUCGUCAGCUCGUGUCGUGAGAUGUUGGGUUAAGUCCCGCAACGAGCGCAACCCUUAUUGUUAGUUGCCAUCAUUUAGUUGGGCACUCUAGCGAGACUGCCGGUGACAAA